GGAUAAUGGUGAAACUGGAGAUGAUCCGUACAGAGUUCAAGACUGUUCUGAACCAAGUUAUAGAGGCCCGGCAGCCAAAGGAGUCGGAAUCCUUGGGGCAACUUGAAAUGCUGCAAAACCCUGCAGAAACAAAUGAGGAACUGAAGGAUAUCUGUGAAACACUUAGAGACUCCCACUAUCGAAAGAAAAUGGAGCGUCCCUGAAAGCACACCCCAAGGCUACCUACCAAGAAGUAGAUGACAAAAUAGCAGACGCUCUCAAACAUGCACCAGCUCGGCUCAAGAGUAAGAGAAAGGAGCGGGUCGAGGAAGCGACAGUGGAUGAGGAUGGAGCAGCAGCAACUGAAUAAACAUAACAUAGUUUUUCACUUUUAGCUUUAAGCAGUUUUACAGUUCUUGAUUGGAGUGCAGUGUUCAUGUUUUUACUGACUUGUUAUUUUGUGAGCUUAUUGCUGUGAUUUUGUUUACGAAUCUAUUGUGAUACAGUUUAAGUAAAAAAAAAA
RNAcentral lists this long non-coding RNA (502 nucleotides) under Salmo salar (Atlantic salmon). RNAcentral describes it as "lncRNA (ENSSSAG00000116475.1)". The record is from RNAcentral. Lineage: Eukaryota; Metazoa; Chordata; Actinopteri; Salmoniformes; Salmonidae.